RNAcentral lists this ribosomal RNA (468 nucleotides) under uncultured bacterium. RNAcentral describes it as "partial 16S ribosomal RNA". It matches the Rfam family "Bacterial small subunit ribosomal RNA", at positions 28 to 507 of the family's 1533-position model. The record is from RNAcentral.
GAUGAACGCUGGCGGCGUGCUUAACACAUGCAAGUCGAACGGAAAGGCCCUGCUUCUGUGGGGUGCUCGAGUGGCGAACGGAUGAGUAACUAGUGAGUAACUUGCCUUUGACUUUGGGAUAACUUCAGGAAACUGGGGCUAAUACCGGAUAGGUGUUCCUGCUGCAUGGCGGGGGUUGGAAAGUUUCGGCGGUUGGGGAUGGACUCGCGGCUUAUCAGCUUGCUGGUGGGGUAGUGGCUUACCAAGGCUUUGACGGGUAGCGGGCCUGAGAGGGUGACCGGCCACAUUGGGACUGAGGUACGGCCCAGACUCCUACGGGAGGCAGAAGUGGGGAAUAUUGCACAGUGGGCGGAAGCCUGGUGCAGCAACGCCGCGUGCGGGAUGGGGGCCUUCGGGUUUUAGACCUCUUUCGCCUGUGACAAAGCGUGAGUGACGGUAAUGGGUUAAGAAGCGCCGGCUAACUACGUG